AGGGGAAUAUUGGACAAUGGGCGCAAGCCUGAUCCAGCCAUGCCGCGUGAGUGAUGAAGGCCCUAGGGUUGUAAAGCUCUUUCACCGGUGAAGAUAACGACGGUAACCGGAGAAGAAGUCCCGGCUAACUGCGUGCCAGCAGCCGCGGUAAUACGCAGGGGGCUAGCGUUGUGCGGAUUUACUGGGCGUAAAGCGCACGUAGGCGGGCUAUUAAGUCAGGGGUGAAAUCCCGGGGCUCAACCCCGUAACUGCCUUUGAGUGUGGUUGUCUUGAGUUCGAGAGAGGUGAGGAGAAUGCCGUGUGUAGAGGUGAAAUGCGUAUAUAUGCGGGGGAACACCGGUGGCGAAGGCGUCUCACUGGCUCGAUACUGACUCUGAGGUGCGAAAGCGUGGGGAGCAAACAGG
This 404-nucleotide ribosomal RNA is filed under the name Actinomycetes bacterium. RNAcentral's name for it is "Actinobacteria bacterium partial 16S ribosomal RNA". It matches the Rfam family "Bacterial small subunit ribosomal RNA", at positions 355 to 776 of the family's 1533-position model. Lineage: Bacteria; Bacillati; Actinomycetota; Actinomycetes. The record is from RNAcentral.